RNAcentral lists this ribosomal RNA (254 nucleotides) under uncultured bacterium. RNAcentral's name for it is "partial 16S ribosomal RNA". It matches the Rfam family "Bacterial small subunit ribosomal RNA", at positions 524 to 776 of the family's 1533-position model. The record is from RNAcentral.
GACGUAGGGCGCGAGCGUUUGUCCGGAUUUAUUGGGCGUAAAGAGCUCGUAGGCGGCUUGUCGCGUCGUCCGUGAAAACCUGCAGCUCAACUGUAGGCUUGCGGUCGAUACGGGCAGGCUAGAGUUCGGUAGGGGAGACUGGAAUUCCUGGUGUAGCGGUGGAAUGCGCAGAUAUCAGGAGGAACACCGGUGGCGAAGGCAGCCCCCUGGGCUGACACUGACGCUCAGGCACGAAAGCGUGGGGAGCGAACAGG